CGGCAAACGGGUGAGUAAUACGUAAGUAACCUUCCUCUAAGCGGGGGAUAGCCCACCGAAAGGUGGAUUAAUACUGCAUAACAUUGCAACUCGGCAUCGAGAUGCAAUUAAACAUCCGCAAGGAUGGCUAAGAGACGGACUUACGGCCUAUCAGCUAGUUGGGGGGGUAAUGGCCCACCAAGGCGACGACGGGUAGCCGACCUGAAAGGGUGAUCGGCCACACUGACACUGAGACACGGGUCAG
This 244-nucleotide ribosomal RNA is filed under the name uncultured bacterium. RNAcentral describes it as "partial 16S ribosomal RNA". It matches the Rfam family "Bacterial small subunit ribosomal RNA", at positions 96 to 334 of the family's 1533-position model. The record is from RNAcentral.